UUUUAAUCUAUUUCCUACUCUGCUGCUGCCGGAUGCUUUUGACAAAUCUUCUCUCUGCAAUGAUGUAAUUUGCUUCCUCGUGUCAGACUGCCUCUACUGCACAGAAUGAAAUUUCAUUUUGAAAAUCAAGUCUCCCACAGUUUGCUUUCAUUUUCGCUGGUCUCUCCAACGAACCUCUCACUAACGCAGGCUGAGAACGAACCUCCCAGCAUCUUCGAAGGGUGACCAAACCUCUUCCAACAUCGUCGAAGGGCCUACGAACCAAACCCAGCGUCGUCGAAGGGCAAAGUCAAUGGCACCCUUUGAAGGUCAAUAAUGGAGAUAGAAGGAAGACGACAUCAAGUACAAAUUCAGAAUGAAGCACACAAAAUAAAGUCCAAACCAUCUUUGAUAUUUUGCUGGUUUUUUGUCAAAAAUAUUGUAUAUGAUGUUGGACUUUGAUUACUGGUGGCUAUCCGCUAUAUGGCAUUGUUAUCCAAUUUCCUUAUUGAUGCCUGUAUGGCCUUGUUUUUUUAGCUUGAUGUGUGUCUCACACACAAAAGUAGUAUUUAUUCUCUUGUUCUUUUUUUUUUUUCCAUGACAAUUUCUCUUUGACGCCAAAUUCAAGAUGUAUGGAAUUUGACAAAAAUGAGAUGAGGAUUCUGCUUCUUUUA
Carya illinoinensis is the source of this 653-nucleotide long non-coding RNA. RefSeq lists it as uncharacterized. NCBI's taxonomy places the organism in Eukaryota, Viridiplantae, Streptophyta, Magnoliopsida, Fagales, Juglandaceae. The transcript has 2 exons. The record is from RefSeq and is a predicted model, not a curated record.